Non-coding RNA from Phrynosoma platyrhinos (Desert horned lizard), 72 nucleotides. NCBI's taxonomy places the organism in Eukaryota, Metazoa, Chordata, Lepidosauria, Squamata, Phrynosomatidae. The record is from the annotation of a GenBank genome assembly.
GAGAGUGUGGCAUAGUGGUUUGCCUGCUGGGCUAGGAUUCUGGAGACCAGGGUUCAAAUCCCCACUCAAUCA